UACGUAGGGUGCAAGCGUUAUCCGGAAUUAUUGGGCGUAAAGAGCUCGUAGGCGGUUUGUCGCGUCUGCUGUGAAAACCGGAGGCUCAACCCCCGGCCUGCAGUGGGUACGGGCAAACUAGAGUGCGGUAGGGGAGAUUGGAAUUCCUGGUGUAGCGGUGGAAUGCGCAGAUAUCAGGAGGAACACCGAUGGCGAAGGCAGAUCUCUGGGCCGUAACUGACGCUGAGGAGCGAAAGCGUGGGGAGCGAACAGG
Molecule: ribosomal RNA, 253 nt
Filed under: uncultured bacterium
Lineage: Bacteria
Description: partial 16S ribosomal RNA
Rfam family: Bacterial small subunit ribosomal RNA
Source: RNAcentral